The sequence is a transfer RNA, 74 nucleotides long. It matches the Rfam family "tRNA". Rfam says of the family: Transfer RNA (tRNA) molecules are approximately 80 nucleotides in length. Their secondary structure includes four short double-helical elements and three loops (D, anti-codon, and T loops). Further hydrogen bonds mediate the characteristic L-shaped molecular structure. tRNAs have two regions of fundamental functional importance: the anti-codon, which is responsible for specific mRNA codon recognition, and the 3' end, to which the tRNAs corresponding amino acid is attached (by aminoacyl-tRNA synthetases). tRNAs cope with the degeneracy of the genetic code in two manners: having more than one tRNA (with a specific anti-codon) for a particular amino acid; and 'wobble' base-pairing, i.e. permitting non-standard base-pairing at the 3rd anti-codon position. The record is from Rfam.
GGACGCGUGGCGCAGCUGGAUAGCGCGAUUGCCUCCGGAGCAAUAGGUCGUGGGUUCGAAUCCCGCCGCGUUCA